This 72-nucleotide transfer RNA is filed under the name Urocitellus parryii (Arctic ground squirrel). RNAcentral describes it as "Spermophilus parryii (Arctic ground squirrel) tRNA". It matches the Rfam family "tRNA". Rfam says of the family: Transfer RNA (tRNA) molecules are approximately 80 nucleotides in length. Lineage: Eukaryota; Metazoa; Chordata; Mammalia; Rodentia; Sciuridae. RNAcentral also lists the same sequence under 2 other names. The record is from Rfam by way of RNAcentral.
GGGGGUGUAGCUCAGUGGUAGAGUGCUUGCCUAGCAUGCAGGCGGCCUGGGGUUAGAUCCCCAGCACUACAA